This 23-nucleotide non-coding RNA is filed under the name Cricetulus griseus (Chinese hamster). The record is from RNAcentral. Lineage: Eukaryota; Metazoa; Chordata; Mammalia; Rodentia; Cricetidae.
UUUUUGUAUUGGAAGGGCUCGUC